This 83-nucleotide transfer RNA is filed under the name Deinococcus sp. 43. RNAcentral's name for it is "tRNA-Ala". Lineage: Bacteria; Thermotogati; Deinococcota; Deinococci; Deinococcales; Deinococcaceae. The record is from RNAcentral.
GGGUGCUAGAUAAUGCCGUGUGGGACGUCAUUCUUGGCUUUGCAAGCGGAGGGUCUGGGGUUCGAAUCCCCAAGCCUCCACCA